GCCUCCUUCCCUCCUACACCGGCGCCGCCCUUACCUCGCGCCGACAGCCGCCCUCCCUCGCGCGCCGGCCUCCUCCACCCUCGCGCGCCGGCCUCCUCCACCCCCACGCUCAGGACGCCUUCCUUCCUCCACUCCGGUCACCUUCCUUCCUCCGCUCCGGUUGCCUUCCUCCUCGCGCACCGGCCUCCUCCCUACCCCGCGCUCUAUCUACCUUUCUUCUCGCGCUUCGGCCGUCUUCCUCCCCGCGCUCCGGCCGCCUUCCUCCCCGUGGUCCGGCCUCCUUCCUCCCCGCAAUUAGUCCGCCUCCCUCCCCACGCUCCGUCCACCUUCCUCCCCGAGAACCGUCCGCCUUCUCCCCUGAGAUCCCACGGCCGUACCACCGCCGGCCAACCCCUCCAUCUGUAAGUAAGGGCACUUGGCCGCCCUCCACGCCGGGGUGGCCCUGCUAGCCAUCAGCGGGGGAAGCGGAGUAGCUGCCAUGGCGGGGGUGAAGACGAGUUCAGGAACAACUUUGGCUUGAGGCUGUGCAAAGACCACCGCCCGUCCCUACCUUACCUACAGGCUCAUGGAGCUCAUGGAGCUCGACCUCUCCUCCGUGGCCUCCGUCUGCAAGUUCGCCGAUGACAUCCUCAUAAAAAAGAACAAUGUGUUACUACCAUGGGAGGCUCCCUGCUGGAUGUCGGCGCCGGAGGGGUAUCCCCGCAGCCAUAGACUUCUCUUCUCUCCUGCAAUGCAAGGUAUGGUACUCACACCAGUUCAAGUAAUGAUGUUGCAACAAGUACAGCUCCUCCCCCUGUCAAGCUUAGUGAGCCAAAAAAGAGCAUGUUGAUGGAUGAUUGCUAGCUCGCUUCAUCAUCGGCAGAUUUUCCCGUCUACUAACUUGUGGUUAAUUCCUUCUAUCCUUCUAUCCUUGUGGAUGCCUACAAAAUAUAGUUUUCUGUGCUGCUACUUCAUCAGUCCGUAAUGUGCAUAAGCUGUAGUCCUGGUUGUGUAGAGAAAUGAGGUGUGUGGCUGGUUCACUGUGUGUGUGUGUGUGCAUAUGUGUUAACUGGUGGCCGGUGGUGUGUGUGUGCAGGGUACUGCCGGAGAUAAGUAGUAGGCGGCAAAGUGUUUUGAAGUAGCACCAAGAUGGGGCAUAAAGCUGGCGAGCAGCUAAUUUUUGCCGUGUGCAACUACUGAACCUGGUGUCCUGCUGCUAUUGAACUGUUUUGAUGCAAAUGUCGCUGAUGAACAUACUUUGUGUAGAAAAAGCUACAAAAAAUCACUUUUUCUGGUUGUAAGAAUUUCUAAACUUGCUCUGGUCUAGCAGUUCAACAAAUAUUGAUGUUUGGUUAAUAUUACCACGCUCUACGCAGCGCUUCCACGGGAUCCUCUGCACGCAGUCGGCGUCUCACCUCACGCCGCCGCACGCCAUCUUCCUUGCUUGUCGGUGUCAUACAGGUUUCUUCGGCCGCCGCCUCGCCCUGACCCAACUAUCUCGAAUUUGCGCUGGGACCGGCCUUCAUCGAAGUUUCUCCCAAUCCUUCGACCUCGUCGUGCCAUGCAGCAUGCUUCAGUUCAAGAAAAAUCUCAAUAAAAGUUCAGAGUAGUUCACACUUCAGUUAGCACCUGGCGUCGGCCGAGGCAACAAUCCCCACCUCCCCUGACCAGAUCCUCCAUGGCCCUCGGCCACGAGCUCGUCCACCAUGGUUACUCGCAGUCGUCAAAGUGGAGCACGGACAUCAGUCCAAGUAGAAUUGAAGCCACCAUCUUCACCAUUUUCUUAUCAUUCUCACAUUAUUUUCUUGGUGAAUUAGCAAUUACUGCUAUUGUAGAAAGGAGCUUGUUGGUGUUUCUGUUUCUUUUUGGUAUGUGUUUAUGAGCAUGUGAGGGCAGUGGACAUUUUGUCCUUCUGAUAAUCUCCUUUAAUAAUAACACACACCUCCUCUUAAUGAGAAGAUGUGCAAAACUUUCCAUGACUCUUAAAAAGAGCCGUUUUGCAUAUGUAUAGUUUUGACCUACUUAAAUAUUGAGCCUACCAUUUUUUAUGAGUACCAUGAGUAUAAUGUUGUUCUUUUCCUAGCUGAGUCCGGUGAAGUACUAACAAUGAGUUUUUUGGUCGGCCUUCCAGAUCUGGAGUGGAAGCUUAUAUAUGUUGGAUCAGCUGAAGAUGAGAACUAUUAUCAGCAAUUUGAGAGUGUGCUUGUUGGCCCUGUGAAUGUUGGGACAUACCAUUUUGUUCUGGAGGUAGUUGAAAGGUGCAGACUUGGCAGCGGUGUGGUUCGUUCAACAACAGUGCAAUGACAAAAAGAACAUCAGUUCAAAAAAAUUAUGCAGGAGGUUUGGGAGCCAAACAACUGGAGGUUCAAAGAUUGUCGUGGAGCAAGUUCAAGAGUUUGGUUUCAUGUGAAAAAUGUGAUUUUUUGGUCAGGAUUUUGCAUGAUUGAUAGCCAUCAGUGGCAGCCGGCGAGUAGUUCAAGCCCGCAUGCGCGAGCCGCCCAUCGUCUUCCACACGUGAUCCUAUUGCUUGAUGAUGCUUGACAUGAACUCAACAAGAUGGAUGGAAUUUUUGCAAUGUAAUGUAAAUGAAUAUGGUAAACAAAUUGGGACACCAGAUUGUUUUAGAGGUGGAGUUUGUGCUCCAGUUGAGUUGCAGCAGAUUGUGGCUGUUGGUUGUUUCAAGUGAAGGUGGUCGGGUAUUACUUGUGUAGGACUGAAUGAAUCUUGUAUGUAAAGGAAACUGGAUCGAAUAGUUGUCAGUAUUAAGAUUUAAAAUUACAUUUUGAUCCA
Triticum aestivum (bread wheat) is the source of this 2769-nucleotide long non-coding RNA. RefSeq lists it as uncharacterized. Lineage: Eukaryota; Viridiplantae; Streptophyta; Magnoliopsida; Poales; Poaceae. The record is from RefSeq and is a predicted model, not a curated record. The transcript has 9 exons.